Molecule: ribosomal RNA, 510 nt
Filed under: uncultured bacterium
Lineage: Bacteria
Description: bacterial SSU rRNA
Rfam family: Bacterial small subunit ribosomal RNA
Source: RNAcentral
GACGAACGCUGGCGGCGUGCUUAACACAUGCAAGUGGAGCGACGAACCAGGCUUCGGCCUGGGGCAAAGCCGCGAACGGGUGAGUAACACGUGGGUAACCUGCCCCGAUGAUUGGGACAACCCGAGGAAACUCGGGCUAAUACCGAAUGUGCCCUCUGGCCACAAGGCCUCUGGGGAAAGGAAGCUUCGGCCUCCGCAUCGGGAUGGGCCCGCGGCCCAUUAGCUUGUUGGUGAGGUAACGGCUUACCAAGGCGACGAUGGGUAGCUGGUCUGAGAGGACGAUCAGCCACACUGGGACUGAGACACGGCCCAGACUCCUACGGGAGGCAGCAGUGGGGAAUCUUGCGCAAUGCGCGAAAGCGUGACGCAGCAACGCCGCGUGGGGGAAGAAGGCCUUCGGGUUGUAAACCCCUUUCAGUUGGGACGAAGCUUCAUCGGUUAACAGCCGGUUGGAGUGACGGUACCUUCAGAAGAAGCCCCGGCUAACUACGUGCCAGCAGCCGCCGUAAA